CUUGGUCAUUUAGAGGAAGUAAAAGUCGUAACAAGGUUUCCGUAGGUGAACCUGCGGAAGGAUCAUUACAGUGUUCCCUGCCCUCACGGGUAGAAACGCCCACCCUUGUGAAUAUAUCUUGUUGCUUUGGCAGGCCGCCCCCGGGCACCGGCUUCGGCUGGCUCGCGCCUGUCAGAGGACCCCAAACUCUGAAUGUUAGUGUCGUCUGAGUACUAUAUAAUAGUUAAAACUUUUAACAACGGAUCUCUUGGUUCUGGCAUCGAUGAAGAACGCAGCGAAAUGCGACAAGUAAUGUGAAUUGCAGAAUUCAGUGAAUCAUCGAAUCUUUGAACGCACAUUGCGCCCCGUGGUAUUCCGCGGGGCAUGCCUGUUCGAGCGUCAUUUAACCCAAUCCAGCUUGCUGGGUCUUGGGCUUCGCCUCCGGGCGGGCCUCAAAAUCAGUGGCGGCGCCGUCUGGCUCUAAGCGUAGUAAUACUCCUCGCUACAGGGCUCCGGACGGUUGCUGGCCAGUAACCCCCAAAUUUAUUCAGGUUGACCUCGGAUCAGGUAGGGAUACCCGCUGAACUUAAGCAUAUCAAUAAGCGGAGGAAAAGAAACCAACAGGGAUUACCUCAGUAACGGCGAGUGAAGCGGUAACAGCUCAAAUUUGAAAUCUGGCCCUUUCAGGGUCCGAGUUGUAAUUUGUAGAAGAUGCUUCAGGUGUGGCUCCGGUCUAAGUUCCUUGGAACAGGACGUCAUAGAGGGUGAGAAUCCCGUAUGUGACUGGUUGCCUUCGCCCAUGUGAAGCUCUUUCGACGAGUCGAGUUGUUUGGGAAU
This 816-nucleotide small RNA is filed under the name uncultured Helotiales. Its description in RNAcentral is "eukaryotic LSU rRNA". The stretch from base 533 to 816 matches the Rfam family "Eukaryotic large subunit ribosomal RNA", at positions 1 to 281 of the family's 3401-position model. The record is from RNAcentral. Lineage: Eukaryota; Fungi; Ascomycota; Leotiomycetes; Helotiales.